GGAGAAUUGCUUGAAUCUGGGAGGUGGAGGCUGCAGUGAGCUGAGAUCACACCACUGCACUCCAGCCUGAGUGACAGAGCAAGACUCUGUCUC
This 93-nucleotide microRNA precursor is filed under the name Rhinopithecus bieti (black snub-nosed monkey). Its description in RNAcentral is "miRNA (ENSRBIG00000022915.1)". The record is from RNAcentral. Lineage: Eukaryota; Metazoa; Chordata; Mammalia; Primates; Cercopithecidae.